GGGAAGGCGGAGCCGUUGGGGAGCUUGAGGGGAAGCGUGGUCUCUCCCGGAAAAACCACUUCCACCGAGAACGCUGAGCGAGAGCACCUGGAUGGAGCACCUAAGGGAAGUGUUCAGAAAGACAUGUUUGUUGAGAGUUCUUACCGUGAAAAAAUAAAAAGAUUUGAUGACUUUUCUAAGAUAAUGAAUUCAGAAGCAUCUGGAGGUUUCAGUGUUUGGCCUCUGAAGGAGGGCUUAUAGGGCUUUUUAUAAGUCCUAAAGCACGUAGGUUCUUUUUGUUAUUCCCAAUUGGUUGCCUUGUAGAUUCCUACUAAAACCCUUAAUGAAAAGGACUAUGCGCUAUGGUUGUUCUAAAGAAAUAGAAGUAAUAGUAGGACUAGAGAAAGCUGCAUGGGACAGAGUAGCACUGUCAGAACACAGAAAGGUGAGUAUCCACUGCUGAGGAGCAGAUCUCUUAUCUAACAUACGAAAUGUCUUCAUUUGACAGACAGGAAGCUGAAAAAAAACUUUGGCAUUUUUAUUCAGACACGUAUAAAAACAAAAC
Molecule: long non-coding RNA, 544 nt
Filed under: Homo sapiens (human)
Lineage: Eukaryota; Metazoa; Chordata; Mammalia; Primates; Hominidae
Description: non-protein coding lnc-SMARCC2-7:2
Source: RNAcentral